GGUUAAGCGACUAAGCGUACACGGUGGAUGCCCUGGCAGUCAGAGGCGAUGAAGGACGUGCUAAUCUGCGAAAAGCGCCGGCGAGGUGAUAUGAACCCUUGACCCGGCGAUGUCCGAAUGGGGAAACCCAGUGCAAUCCGUUGCACUAUCGUUAACUGAAUACAUAGGUUAACGAGGCGAACCGGGGGAACUGAAACAUCUAAGUACCCCGAGGAAAAGAAAUCAACCGAGAUUCCCCCAGUAGCGGCGAGCGAACGGGGAGCAGCCCGGAGUCUGAAUCAGCUUGUGUGUUAGUGGAACGGUCUGGAAAGUCCGACGGUACAGGGUGAUAGUCCCGUACACGAAAGCACACAUGCUGUGAACUCGAAGAGUAGGGCGGGACACGUGGUAUCCUGUCUGAAUAUGGGGGGACCAUCCUCCAAGGCUAAAUACUCCUGACUGACCGAUAGUGAACCAGUACCGUGAGGGAAAGGCGAAAAGAACCCCGGCGAGGGGAGUGAAAAAGAACCUGAAACCGUGUACGUACAAGCAGUGGGAGCCUCUUUAUGGGGUGACUGCGUACCUUUUGUAUAAUGGGUCAGCGACUUAUAUUCUGUAGCAAGGUUAACCGUAUAGGGGAGCCGAAGGGAAACCGAGUCUUAACUGGGCGUUAAGUUGCAGGGUAUAGACCCGAAACCCGGUGAUCUAGCCAUGGGCAGGUUGAAGGUUGGGUAACACUAACUGGAGGACCGAACCGACUAAUGUUGAAAAAUUAGCGGAUGACCUGUGGCUGGGGGUGAAAGGCCAAUCAAACCGGGAGAUAGCUGGUUCUCCCCGAAAGCUAUUUAGGUAGCGCCUCGUGAACUCAUCUUCGGGGGUAGAGCACUGUUUCGGCUAGGGGGCCAUCCCGGCUUACCAACCCGAUGCAAACUACGAAUACCGAAGAAUGUUAUCACGGGAGACACACGGCGGGUGCUAACGUCCGUCGUGAAGAGGGAAACAACCCAGACCGCCAGCUAAGGUCCCAAAGUCAUGGUUAAGUGGGAAACGAUGUGGGAAGGCACAGACAGCCAGGAUGUUGGCUUAGAAGCAGCCAUCAUUUAAAGAAAGCGUAAUAGCUCACUGGUCGAGUCGGCCUGCGCGGAAGAUGUAACGGGGCUAAACCAUGCACCGAAGCUGCGGCAGCGACACUAUGUGUUGUUGGGUAGGGGAGCGUUCUGUAAGCCGUUGAAGGUGUGCUGUGAGGCAUGCUGGAGGUAUCAGAAGUGCGAAUGCUGACAUAAGUAACGAUAAAGCGGGUGAAAAGCCCGCUCGCCGGAAGACCAAGGGUUCCUGUCCAACGUUAAUCGGGGCAGGGUGAGUCGACCCCUAAGGCGAGGCCGAAAGGCGUAGUCGAUGGGAAACAGGUUAAUAUUCCUGUACUUGGUGUUACUGCGAAGGGGGGACGGAGAAGGCUAUGUCAGCCGGGCGACGGUUGUCCCGGUUUAAGCAUGUAGGCGGAGGUUCCAGGUAAAUCCGGUACCUUAUUAACGCUGAGGUGUGAUGACGAGGCACUACGGUGCUGAAGUGAUAAAUGCCCUGCUUCCAGGAAAAGCCUCUAAGCAUCAGGUAACACGAAAUCGUACCCCAAACCGACACAGGUGGUCAGGUAGAGAAUACCAAGGCGCUUGAGAGAACUCGGGUGAAGGAACUAGGCAAAAUGGUGCCGUAACUUCGGGAGAAGGCACGCUGAUAUGUAGGUGAAGCCCCUGCGGGCGGAGCUGAAAUCAGUCGAAGAUACCAGCUGGCUGCAACUGUUUAUUAAAAACACAGCACUGUGCAAACACGAAAGUGGACGUAUACGGUGUGACGCCUGCCCGGUGCCGGAAGGUUAAUUGAUGGGGUUAGCGGCAACGCGAAGCUCUUGAUCGAAGCCCCGGUAAACGGCGGCCGUAACUAUAACGGUCCUAAGGUAGCGAAAUUCCUUGUCGGGUAAGUUCCGACCUGCACGAAUGGCGUAAUGAUGGCCAGGCUGUCUCCACCCGAGACUCAGUGAAAUUGAACUCGCUGUGAAGAUGCAGUGUACCCGCGGCAAGACGGAAAGACCCCGUGAACCUUUACUAUAGCUUGACACUGAACACUGGUCCUUGAUGUGUAGGAUAGGUGGGAGGCUUUGAAGCGUGGACGCCAGUCUGCGUGGAGCCAACCUUGAAAUACCACCCUUUAAUGGCUGGUGUUCUAACGU
This 2203-nucleotide ribosomal RNA is filed under the name Enterobacter hormaechei. RNAcentral describes it as "partial 23S ribosomal RNA". It matches the Rfam family "Bacterial large subunit ribosomal RNA", at positions 1 to 2228 of the family's 2925-position model. RNAcentral also lists the same sequence under 1 other name. Lineage: Bacteria; Pseudomonadati; Pseudomonadota; Gammaproteobacteria; Enterobacterales; Enterobacteriaceae. The record is from RNAcentral.